AGUGAACGCUGGCGGUAGGCCUAACACAUGCAGGUCGAACGGCAGCACAGUAAGAGCUUGCUCUUACGGGUGGCGAGUGGCGGACGGGUGAGGAAUACAUCGGAAUCUACUUUUUCGUGGGGGAUAACGUAGGGAAACUUACGCUAAUACCGCAUACGACCUACGGGUGAAAGCAGGGGAUCUUCGGACCUUGCGCGAUUGAAUGAGCCGAUGUCGGAUUAGCUAGUUGGCGGGGUAAAGGCCCACCAAGGCGACGAUCCGUAGCUGGUCUGAGAGGUUGAUCAGCCACACUGGAACUGAGACACGGUCCAGACUCCUACGGGAGGCAGCAGUGGGGAAUAUUGGACAAUGGGCGCAAGCCUGAUCCAGCCAUACCGCGUGGGUGAAGAAGGCCUUCGGGUUGUAAAGCCCUUUUGUUGGGAAAGAAAAGCAGCAGGUUAAUACCCCGCUGUUCUGACGGUACCCAAAGAAUAAGCACCGGCUAACUUCGUG
This 492-nucleotide ribosomal RNA is filed under the name uncultured bacterium. RNAcentral describes it as "partial 16S ribosomal RNA". It matches the Rfam family "Bacterial small subunit ribosomal RNA", at positions 29 to 507 of the family's 1533-position model. The record is from RNAcentral.